Fundulus heteroclitus (mummichog) is the source of this 2154-nucleotide long non-coding RNA. RefSeq lists it as uncharacterized. The transcript has 2 exons. The record is from RefSeq and is a predicted model, not a curated record. Lineage: Eukaryota; Metazoa; Chordata; Actinopteri; Cyprinodontiformes; Fundulidae.
ACGAGGAAGCUGUCUGAAAGGGAUGUUCGGGUGCUAACCCGGAUUGUAUCCAAAAACAUAAAACCACGGCUCCCCAAGUCACAGCAGAAUUAAAUGAGUGAUUCUCACCAAAUCAGACUCAUGAGGUGGCAUUAGGGAUUGUGAUGAACAGAUAAAUGCUAUCAAUUUGGGAAAACACUGGUUUAUAAACAUCUCAUCAUAGGCUAUAUUGGAAGUGAUUAAAAGAAGACAUUGUGAUAUUUUAAAUUAUGUAUUUUUUACAAUUUAAUGUGAAAUUCUCAGUACCGCAACGCGUCAAUUACUGAAUCUCGGCUCUUCAACUACAUAAUUUUAAUAUUUAAAAUAAAUAAAUAAUAAAAAACUUAAAUGUAUCUCAUAAGGUAAAUUGUUACAUUCAAUAAAAAGUUAUUGCUUGGAAUUCACUGGUAAAAGAAAAGAAAAUAUUUAUAAAAAGAACUUUGGUCACACCCAAUAUUCUCAGCAUCCGCAACAAUUUUCAAGCACCAAGGAACAGACAAAAAACAGCCAUUUUGAGAGGUGGGACACCUUUUACUGUAACACCCAAGAUGGCUACCAGGUAAGCACCUCAUUUUAUAUCUCUCCAGAUAAAUGUUAAAAACUUCAUUGUCAGCGAGCAUACACAACUUUUCGUUUCUCAUUACCGAAACAGCAAGUUUUCAAUGUUUAAAAAAUGAAAAUUUUAUUGUGUUUUGGGAAUUUUUAAGGUUUUUAAAGUCUAAAUACAAAAAGCUAGCAAGGGCCCAGAGAGGCCCCAGAAGGUCAAGGUCACUCAGGCUCCGCAACAGCUUUCUCAUACACCGCAACAAUUAAAAGCUACAAGAACAAAAACAAACCAAAUGUGUUCUUAAUCUCACUCCAAAUUCUUCUGUGAGUGAAUUAAGUGAUUCUUCAGCAAUAGCUGAAGUAAAUAAGCCAAGACCUGAGGAUCACGUAUCAAUACAAGACGAUGUACCAACACCACCACUGCAGUCAUUAACCCCAAAGAGAAGCACAAUCAGAAAGAAAUCAAAAUUUAUCAACAGAUUGAGGACCAAACUGAGACAGGCAGAAGAGGAAUUAAAAAAAAAAAAACGGAAAGAAAUGCAGAAUCUCAACAAGAAAUUUAGGAGACUUCAAGCACGAAGGGUGACUGUGACCAAGCAGAUUGCCACGACCGCAAAAAAACAAAAAAGUCAGGCAGCAGAAAGGUGGCAUUUCGCUCAACAACAAGAGGAAAGGCCUGUUGAAAAUGGUACAUUCUUUCCUCCAUAGAGAUGAUGUAUCUACUGCGGUCAACGGAAAAUCUGGGGAGAUCCGGCGGAGAGAAGUGAUCCAUAGGAAAAGGCACUUGUGUGACACAAUGGCUAACCUGCACAAGAAGUUUUUAGGUACAUCCGCCAACAACACCCCAAUGUAUGCAACAUACAUUUUGUUUCUGAUGGCCCAACAUCCCAAUACAGAAACAGAAAUUUGUUCUACUUGGCCUCCACUGUACCAUUCCUCCAUGGAUUUAAAUACGUGACAUAGAACUUCACAGAGGCGUCUCAUGGAAAAGGAGCCCCAGAUGGCGUGGGGGCAGCCUUAAAAAACCUGGCAAACCGAAUAGUGGCAUACGGCCAAAGCAUCCCAGAUGCAGAUACUCUGUUUCAGCAGCUGACCCUGAACUCCUCUGUAACUCUAUUCCAGGUGUCUGAGGACAAAAUUAAAGAGAGGGGUGAAUUGCUUCCUCCACACCUUAAGCCAGUCCCAGGGACAAUGAAAAUCCACCAAGUAGGUCAAAAUUAAUAUAUUUAAGUGCUCACAUAACAAGUCACACUAGCCACAUACUGUAAGUUAGUACAUUCAAGAUAUCAUUAUCUUGCCAUCCUAAUCACAUUUCCAUAAAUUAGUAAAUCAGUAGAUAAAUUACUAAAACUGUUUUUGUUAAUCUAUACAACAGCUGAUGUCCACCACUCCUGGGGUAGUUCACACGAGGGAAGUGUCAUGUUUCUGUCAGAAAAAUUGUGAGUGCUUCUCUCCAUCACGCAAUGCAUUUGCAGAGGAAGACGACGUUUCCACAAAGCUACCAGAGGCUUCCAUAGAGGUUGGCCAGUGGGUCCUUGUGGAAUACAACGCAGAUCUGUUCCCCGGUGUAGUUACAGAGGUAAAAAAAAA